AGCAGCCGCGGUAAUUCCAGCUCCAAUAGCGUAUAUUAAAGUUGUUGCAGUUAAAAAGCUCGUAGUUGAAUUUCGGGAUCAAUACGUCGGUCGUGCUUCGGUACGUACUGGCGUCAUUGAUUUCUCCCUUCUGACGAACCAUGAUGUCAUUAACUUGGUGUCAUGGGAAAUCAGGACUGUUACUUUGAAAAAUUAGAGUGUUUAAAGCAGGCUCACGCUUGAAUACAUUAGCAUGGAAUAAUGAAAUAGGACGUUCGAACCUAUUUUGUUGGUUUCUAGGAUCAACGUAAUGAUUAAUAGGGAUAGUUGGGGGCAUUAGUAUUCAAUUGUCAGAGGUGAAAUUCUUGGAUUUAUUGAAGACUAACUACUGCGAAAGCAUUUGCCAAGGAUGUUUUCAUUAAUCAAGAACGAAGGUUAGGGGAUCGAAGACGAUCAGAUACCGUCGUAGUCUUAACCAUAAACUAUGCCGACUAGGGAUCGGAUGAUGUUAAUUUUUAAUGUACU
RNAcentral lists this ribosomal RNA (504 nucleotides) under uncultured Glomus. RNAcentral's name for it is "SSU rRNA". It matches the Rfam family "Eukaryotic small subunit ribosomal RNA", at positions 569 to 1078 of the family's 1831-position model. The record is from RNAcentral. Lineage: Eukaryota; Fungi; Glomeromycota; Glomeromycetes; Glomerales; Glomeraceae.